UUGGGUUUUGCUGGUGAAGCACUUUCUUGUAUUCGACUGUGAAGUUGUCAAGCUCUUCCGAUUUCGGAAUAUGAGGUUUUACACCUAUAACUCCUUGCAUAUCUUCUUCCAUAACUGAACGAUCAAUUGAAUUUAACUCGUUUGUCAUGCCAUCAGUGAUGAUCCACGAGUAAUCUUCGCUCAUCAUUCCCAGUAGUUUAGCUUUGGUGAAUAGGCGAGAACCAAGACCAGUCAGCAUGUGGACAAUGAAAAUUCUAGUUUGCAUUGUCAUAAGCUUGUAAAGCUCUGCAACAAUCUCAUCAUCUGUUGCUGAUGAUGGGAUGGCACUCCUGUAAGGUAUGCGCACAUUUACCUGUUCCAAGGCAUCUGCUAAAUAUGGUAUAAUCCCUUCUCCAAAUUCAUUGUCCACAUAGAUUGGCACAACUUCUCUCCAUCCAAAGGCUUG
RNAcentral lists this long non-coding RNA (445 nucleotides) under Salvia miltiorrhiza (redroot sage). Its description in RNAcentral is "long non-coding RNA (SMIL_LNC005341)". The record is from RNAcentral. Lineage: Eukaryota; Viridiplantae; Streptophyta; Magnoliopsida; Lamiales; Lamiaceae.